UAAGAAGUGUUUUAUGGCACUUUUUAAAUCCAUAUCCACCUUGUGUGCAAUGUCAGUCGACCUUCUUCAUGGAGAUCGACCAAACAUCAACCUUUAUUUUUUAACUCUUUGUCUGAAAAAUAUUAUGAAUAAACAAUUCAAAAUA
Molecule: unclassified non-coding RNA, 145 nt
Filed under: soil metagenome
Description: partial internal transcribed spacer 1
Source: RNAcentral